GACGAACGCUGGCGGCGUGCUUAACACAUGCAAGUCGAACGGAAAGGCCCUGCUUUUGUGGGGUGCUCGAGUGGCGAACGGGUGAGUAACACGUGAGUAACCUGCCCUUGACUUUGGGAUAACUUCAGGAAACUGGGGCUAAUACCGGAUAGGAGCUCCUGCUGCAUGGUGGGGGUUGGAAAGUUUCGGCGGUUGGGGAUGGACUCGCGGCUUAUCAGCUUGUUGGUGGGGUAGUGGCUUACCAAGGCUUUGACGGGUAGCCGGCCUGAGAGGGUGACCGGCCACAUUGGGACUGAGAUACGGCCCAGACUGCUACGGGAGGCAGCAGUGGAGAAUAUUGCACAAUGGGCGGAAGCCUGAUGCAGCAACGCCGCGUGCGGGAUGACGGCCUUCGGGUUGUAAACCGCUGUCGCCUGUGACGAAGCGUGAGUGACGGUAAUGGGUAAAGAAGCACCGGCUAACUACGUG
This 468-nucleotide ribosomal RNA is filed under the name uncultured bacterium. RNAcentral describes it as "partial 16S ribosomal RNA". It matches the Rfam family "Bacterial small subunit ribosomal RNA", at positions 28 to 507 of the family's 1533-position model. The record is from RNAcentral.